This 2675-nucleotide long non-coding RNA is filed under the name Daphnia magna. Its description in RNAcentral is "uncharacterized LOC116933791, transcript variant X2". Lineage: Eukaryota; Metazoa; Arthropoda; Branchiopoda; Diplostraca; Daphniidae. The record is from RNAcentral.
UUGUUUUCUUUAAAAUAAUUUACUUAAAAAUAAAUUAUAUUGAAUUUUAGAAUUGACUGACCCUUAGCUAAAAGACUAAGGUAUCUAAAGAAAAAAUUUCAUUAACAUCCACUACAUACCUUAUUUCUGAAAAAGAAAAAUGCACGGAAAAAAAAAGUUCGCGGCGAAGCGUAAAAUGGUUUUCGCAGUACAACGUCAGCAUUUAAGUGCAGACAAAAUUAAAAUUUUGAACAGACUAUCUAGUGAUAUUAAUUAACACUUCGGCUAUCCUGAAAAACUCUACUUUUUAAGUGGCGCCAAAUAAUACGCAAAAGAGCGACUUACCCCUAAGCCAACUAGCCCCGGUCUCCCCUACUCAUAUUCAAGUGACAGCAAGAUAAUAAACUAGCCCCCCAAGUCAAAGUCCGUGUGGAAACUACUAAACAGUAUUCCACUUAACUUUUGCUUCAGGCGGGGAGGUGCGGGAAUUAGGGAGAAGACAGGUUUGAUUUAAACACCACCUUUAACACUUUUUUUAUUAUCUUCAUCGCCAAAAAACUGGCACUUGCUUUCCGAAGUAAGUAUGGGCUGGCUGGCAACCAGUCAUCUGUUCACCUCAAAUUUUCUUUUCCGUCAGGGUAGACAACUGAAUUGUGACAAACCCGAGAAUACAAAGUAAAACAAAGGUCCAGAACACUUGCAGUUAUUGGUUCGAAGCAAAAGCGGAAGAUUACUUUACUUCUUUCAACCGUCUUCAGCUAUAGAUAAGACUUCAUUUUAUCUCAUUUGUACCGAGCUACUAGAAUGGUGUUGGCAUUUUCAACAAAAAUGCCUGUUAUUUCCAUGAACAAAAUUAUCGAAACUAUUCAACAACUCUCCGAAUUACACAAUUGAUUGGAGAAACACAGAGUUUAUAAUGGCAAUGAGGGAAUACGAGUUCAAUCGUAUUAGAAUUAAACAAAAGAUAUUAAGGGUAGAACACAUGAAAUGUAAAGCUUACGGGGUCAAACCACUUGAUUGUCAUUGUGAUGGUAACAUGAAAUGUUACAGAUGUGAAUCGGCUCAUAGCCAUGGAGCCAAAGAGUUGUUGGAAAAUGUGGCCAUAGCCAAAAAUUAUGAAGUAGAAGCUUUUGUUGCGGAAGCAAACAAAGCUUUUCAUGAGACUAGGAAACGCGGCGUGCGGUGGUUCCACUUUUAAAGCUGGGCAAUCUGAUUCCCAUUCCCAUUCAAAGAAAAUGGAUGAAACGGCAAUUUUGUGUAUGUGAUGUCGUCACGGUUUAGUACUCCGUGCAGCAAACAUUCAUCGAGGAGACACAUACCGAAUUAGGAACCAUCGACCCUAAAAUUGCUUGCCUUACCCAAAAGCUUUUUAAGAUUUCAUGGGAAAGCGCAUACUUGGUGAUGCCAGGUAUUAUGUUUCGGUCAUUUUCGGAAAGGCGCUGCUGCGACUGUUGGAGAGGAAAUUGAGCAGGGUUUCAGUAAAAUCUCCAGAUACAAUGUUUCUAAAAAACACAUGACUAGCUCUAGAAAGCAUUUUUAAAUUUAGUUGCGAUUUUACGUUAGCCUUUUACAUUUUUUACUUUCAGACAGAAACGAUCGCCUAAGUAAAGGUUUUAUUUAUGAAAACGAAAGUAAAGAGAAUAAAAUGGUUUUUACUUUGCCUAAACGUCUUAAGACGGUGAAUAAAAAUGUAGAGUAGCUUAAAUGUUUUCUCCCAACUCCCACUAAAUUACGCAACUAGAAUUGAAUCCAAAUAGAAUUGGAGGGUAUUGCACUGGCAAUAUGUAACAGAAUUCCCAUUCUACAAGCAUGGUUUCUUCAUUUUCUCUCCCCAAAAUCCCUCGUCACACAGACUCUACUAGAAUUCACCAUAAAACUGCAAGUAGCAACAGAAUAAACCUAUUUCCAAUCGACUCCCCAAAAGACACCUGCGCCACACGAAGACACCUUCUUACAUCAGCCGACUGAAACAGGAGCACCCUCGUCUAGCCGAAAACUUCCAGAACAUCUUCCUACCUGUUUGUACUUCUAGAAUAUUCUUGCACCUGCACCACACACGCCAGAAUAUUCAUACUCUUCUUAGAUUAAGAUCACAAUGUAUAAAUAACCCUUAGAUUUAGAAAUAUUUUUACUUAUUAUUCUCUUAAACCCUAGUUAACUGACCUAUCCCAACUGUCACCAUAGUUCGGGGCUGGCUUUAACACAGGACUAUUAUACUAAUUUAUACCUCAAACUGACGCUUUCUCCAGUAAAUCGUACGGCCUAAAACUAUAAUUCUUCUCAACCUCCCGUGACUCAUCCUUUCGGAUGGGUACCCCUUAACCUCCCUAAUAUUCGACUUAAAUGGGUUGACAGAACUGUCAACUCGAGUCGGGGGUUGCUUUUGUACGGAGCCAUCUUUCCCUACGGUUUUCCUUAUUCGGGUAACGGCAACAUCUUUUCCAUAUAAAAGACCGUGACUGACUCUCGCAAUACAUUUUCUUUUUAGUUUUCUUUCCGGUUCCAUCUCGGUUCUUUUCGAGCUCUGUGACCUAACAGCUCUGUUUAAAGUACCAGUUUAGUUCAAUUAACUUAAUUCGUUGAAUCGGGUAUUACCUCUCACAUUGUUUAACCGUUCCCAAUUGGUAUGUCACACCUAACUUAACUUAUAAUUGUAGACUUAGACUUGGUAACCAAUACAUUUGCAUUGUGGAUUA